This 457-nucleotide ribosomal RNA is filed under the name uncultured bacterium. RNAcentral describes it as "bacterial SSU rRNA". It matches the Rfam family "Bacterial small subunit ribosomal RNA", at positions 1023 to 1482 of the family's 1533-position model. The record is from RNAcentral.
GGGACUGGAACACAGGUGCUGCAUGGCUGUCGUCAGCUCGUGUCGUGAGAUGUUGGGUUAAGUCCCGCAACGAGCGCAACCCUCGUCCUUAGUUGCCAUCAUUCAGUUGGGCACUCUAAGGAAACCGCCGGUGAUAAGCCGGAGGAAGGUGGGGAUGACGUCAAGUCCUCAUGGCCCUUACGCGCUGGGCUACACACGUGCUACAAUGGCGGUGACAGUGGGCAGCAAUCUCGCAAGGGUGAGCUAAUCUCCAAAAGCCGUCUCAGUUCGGAUUGUUCUCUGCAACUCGAGAGCAUGAAGGCGGAAUCGCUAGUAAUCGCGGAUCAGCAUGCCGCGGUGAAUACGUUCCCAGGCCUUGUACACACCGCCCGUCACACCAUGGGAGUUGGAUUCACCCGAAGGCAGUGCGCUAACCGCAAGGAGGCAGCUGACCACGGUGGGUUCAGCGACUGGGGUG